CCUCUCCUCUCCCUCUCCUCUCCCUCUCCGUGCCCUUAGAGCAGUCCCUGAGCCAUCUCUGCCAGCGUGGGCAUGCCUGCUGUGAAGGAAGCCAAACUGUACAGAAAUGUCAUCUCUGAUGGCAUUCAAGAGUCCUGACACAAUUACAGAGCCUGGCCCCAGGGGAGAGCUUGCUGGGUGCUCACUCUAAGAUCACAGCCCUGCACUGCCUUGUACAGCAAGGGCGUGCUGCCAGCAGGGCUGAGUGCUGCAAGGCAGAAAGCGCUGUGGGAGCCUCUGGGAGCAGAGCAAGGGAAUAUGUUGAGAGGAGAGGAAGGCAGAGAAAAGAAAGGCACUCAGAGCACAGCAGGAUAUCAUUUGCUGUGAUCCAUUGGUACUGACUUGACCCUAACAUGUUGGAAAAAACCCGUGGUUUGUGCAAAUGCCUUCAUCUAUGACCACCAGUUUUGCUAC
This 453-nucleotide long non-coding RNA is filed under the name Zonotrichia albicollis (white-throated sparrow). Its description in RNAcentral is "lncRNA (ENSZALG00000002919.1)". The record is from RNAcentral. Lineage: Eukaryota; Metazoa; Chordata; Aves; Passeriformes; Passerellidae.